AACGAACGCUGGCGGCGUGCCUAACACAUGCAAGUCGUGCGAGAAAGUUCCUUCGGGAGCGAGUAAAGCGGCGCACGGGUGAGUAACACGUAGGUAACCUGCCCCCAGUCUGGAACAACUAGAGGAAACUCUAGCUAAUGCCGGAUGAGACCACGAUCCCUUCGGGGGUUGCGGCCAAAGAUGGCCUCUACUUGUAAGCUAUCGCUGAGGGAUGGGCCUGCGGGCCAUUAGCUUGUUGGUGAGGUAACGGCUCACCAAGGCUGUGAUGGCUAGCUGGUCUGAGAGGAUGACCAGCCACACUGGGACUGAGACACGGCCCAGACUCCUACGGGAGGCAGCAGUGGGGAAUAUUGCGCAAUGGGCGAAAGCCUGACGCAGCGACGCCGCGUGGGUGAUGAAGGCCUGGUC
Molecule: ribosomal RNA, 408 nt
Filed under: uncultured bacterium
Lineage: Bacteria
Description: bacterial SSU rRNA
Rfam family: Bacterial small subunit ribosomal RNA
Source: RNAcentral